AUGGGGUGACUGCGUACCUUUUGUAUAAUGGGUCAGCGACUUAUAUUCUGUAGCAAGGUUAACCGAAUAGGGGAGCCGUAGGGAAACCGAGUCUUAACUGGGCGAAUGAGUUGCAGGGUAUAGACCCGAAACCCGGUGAUCUAUCCAUGGGCAGGUUGAAGGUUGGGUAACACUAACUGGAGGACCGAACCGACUAAUGUUGAAAAAUUAGCGGAUGACUUGUGGAUGGGGGUGAAAGGCCAAUCAAACCGGGAGAUAGCUGGUUCUCCCCGAAAGCUAUUUAGGUAGCGCCUCGUGAACUCAUCUUCGGGGGUAGAGCACUGUUUCGACUAGGGGGUCAUCCCGACUUACCAACUCGAUGCAAACUGCGAAUACCGAAGAAUGUUAUCACGGGAGACACACGGCGGGUGCUAACGUCCGUCGUGAAGAGGGAAACAACCCAGACCGCCAGCUAAGGUCCCAAAGUCAUGGUUAAGUGGGAAACGAAGUGGGAAGGCUCAGACAGCCAGGAUGUUGGCUUAGAAGCAGCCAUCAUUUAAAGAAAGCGUAAUAGCUCACUGGUCGAGUCGGCCCGCGCGGAAGAUGUAACGGGGCUAAACCAUGCACCGAAGCUGCGGCAGCGACACUUAGGUGUUGUUGGGUAGGGGAGCGUUCUGUAAGCCUGCGAAGGUGUACUGUGAGGUAUGCUGGAGGUAUCAGAAGUGCGAAUGCUGACAUAAGUAACGAUAAUGCGGGUGAAAAACCCGCACGCCGGAAGACCAAGGGUUCCUGUCCAACGUUAAUCGGGGCAGGGUGAGUCGACCCCUAAGGCGAGGCUGAAAAGCGUAGUCGAUGGGAAACGGGUUAAUAUUCCCGUACUGGUGGUAACUGCGAUGGGGGAACGGAGAAGGCUAGGUUGUCCGGGCGACGGUCGUCCCGGUUCAAGCAUGUAGGCAGAGUGAUUAGGCAAAUCCGGUCACUUAAUGCUGAGGUGUGAUGACGAGCCACUAAGGUGGUGAAGCAAUUGAUGCCCUGCUUCCAGGAAAAGCCUCUAAGCUUCAGGUUACCAACAAUCGUACCCCAAACCGACACAGGUGGUCAGGUAGAGAAUACUCAGGCGCUUGAGAGAACUCGGGUGAAGGAACUAGGCAAAAUGGUGCCGUAACUUCGGGAGAAGGCACGCUGGCGGUAAGUGAAGUCCCUUGCGGACGGAGCCGAAGCCAGUCGAAGAUACCAGCUGGCUGCAACUGUUUAUUAAAAACACAGCACUGUGCAAACACGAAAGUGGACGUAUACGGUGUGACGCCUGCCCGGUGCUGGAAGGUUAAUUGAUGGGGUUAUCCUUAGGGAGAAGCUCUUGAUCGAAGCCCCAGUAAACGGCGGCCGUAACUAUAACGGUCCUAAGGUAGCGAAAUUCCUUGUCGGGUAAGUUCCGACCUGCACGAAUGGCGUAAUGAUGGCCAGGCUGUCUCCACCCGAGACUCAGUGAAAUUGAACUCGCUGUGAAGAUGCAGUGUACCCGCGGCAAGACGGAAAGACCCCGUGAACCUUUACUAUAGCUUGACACUGAACAUUGAGCCUUGAUGUGUAGGAUAGGUGGGAGACUAAGAAGUGUGGACGCCAGUCUGCAUGGAGUCAACCUUGAAAUACCACCCUUUAACGUUUGAUGUUCUAACCUAGGCCCGUAAUCCGGGUCGGGGACCGUGUCUGGUGGGUAGUUUGACUGGGGCGGUCUCCUCCUAAAGAGUAACGGAGGAGCACGAAGGUUGGCUAAGCAUGGUCGGACAUCAUGCGGUUAGUGCAAAGGCAUAAGCCAGCUUGACUGUGAGAGUGACGGCUCGAGCAGGUACGAAAGUAGGUCUUAGUGAUCCGGUGGUUCUGAAUGGAAGGGCCAUCGCUCAACGGAUAAAAGGUACUCCGGGGAUAACAGGCUGAUACCGCCCAAGAGUUCAUAUCGACGGCGGUGUUUGGCACCUCGAUGUCGGCUCAUCACAUCCUGGGGCUGAAGUAGGUCCCAAGGGUAUGGCUGUUCGCCAUUUAAAGUGGUACGCGAGCUGGGUUUAGAACGUCGUGAGACAGUUCGGUCCCUAUCUGCCGUGGGCGUUGGAAGAUUGAGAGGGGUUGCUCCUAGUACGAGAGGACCGGAGUGAACGCACCACUGGUGUUCGGGUUGUCAUGCCAAUGGCAUUGCCCGGUAGCUAAGUGCGGAAGAGAUAACCGCUGAAAGCAUCUAAGCGGGAAACUUGCCUCGAGAUGAGUCUUCCCUGUCACCUAGAGUGACCUAAAGGAACGUUUAAGACUAAGACGUUGAUAGGCUGGGUGUGUAAGCGUAGCGAUACGUUGAGCUAACCAGUACUAAUGAACCGUGAGGCUUAACCUG
This 2359-nucleotide ribosomal RNA is filed under the name Proteus sp. PR00224. RNAcentral's name for it is "partial 23S ribosomal RNA". It matches the Rfam family "Bacterial large subunit ribosomal RNA", at positions 588 to 2925 of the family's 2925-position model. Lineage: Bacteria; Pseudomonadati; Pseudomonadota; Gammaproteobacteria; Enterobacterales; Morganellaceae. The record is from RNAcentral.